UGGGUCACCCCCUCUCCGCCCCCCGACCCUCGUUAACCCUCCACGCUGGGCGGAUAGGAAGGGCUGGAUGCCUGCUG
This 77-nucleotide microRNA precursor is filed under the name Ovis aries (sheep). RNAcentral's name for it is "miRNA (ENSOARG00000022588.1)". The record is from RNAcentral. Lineage: Eukaryota; Metazoa; Chordata; Mammalia; Artiodactyla; Bovidae.